This 22-nucleotide non-coding RNA is filed under the name Arabidopsis thaliana (thale cress). The record is from RNAcentral. Lineage: Eukaryota; Viridiplantae; Streptophyta; Magnoliopsida; Brassicales; Brassicaceae.
UGGGAAGUCCUCGUGUUGCAUC